RNAcentral lists this ribosomal RNA (483 nucleotides) under uncultured bacterium. Its description in RNAcentral is "bacterial SSU rRNA". It matches the Rfam family "Bacterial small subunit ribosomal RNA", at positions 29 to 507 of the family's 1533-position model. The record is from RNAcentral.
AACGAACGCUGGCGGCGCGCCUAACACAUGCAAGUCGAACGAGAAUCCGGGGCAACCCGGUAGUAAAGUGGCAAACGGGUGAGGAAUACAUGGGUAACCUACCCUUGAGAAGGGAAUAACCCGCCGAAAGGUGAGCUAAUACCCUAUACGCUAUCUUUUUUUCGAAAAGGAUAGGAAAGCCGGGUCGAGGACCUGGUACUCAAGGAGGGGCUCAUGUCCUAUCAGCUUGUUGGUGGGGUAACGGCCUACCAAGGCUACGACGGGUAGCUGGUCUGAGAGGAUGAUCAGCCACACUGGCACUGAGAUACGGGCCAGACUCCUACGGGAGGCAGCAGUGAGGAAUAUUGCGCAAUGGGCGAAAGCCUGACGCAGCGACGCCGCGUGGGGGAUGAAGGUUUUCGGAUUGUAAACCCUUUCAUGAGGAAGAUAAAGUGGGUAACCACUUAGACGGUACCUCAAGAAGAAGCCACGGCUAACUUCGUG